This 361-nucleotide RNase P RNA is filed under the name Bacteroidota bacterium. Its description in RNAcentral is "Bacteroidetes bacterium (sediment metagenome) RNase P RNA component class A". It matches the Rfam family "Bacterial RNase P class A". Rfam says of the family: Ribonuclease P (RNase P) is a ubiquitous endoribonuclease, found in archaea, bacteria and eukarya as well as chloroplasts and mitochondria. Its best characterised activity is the generation of mature 5'-ends of tRNAs by cleaving the 5'-leader elements of precursor-tRNAs. Cellular RNase Ps are ribonucleoproteins. The record is from RNAcentral. Lineage: Bacteria; Pseudomonadati; Bacteroidota.
AAUGUAGAUCGUUCUGUCGCUCAGCCAAAAAGCUGAGAGGAAAGUCCGGGCAGUACAGGGCAUCAUCCUUCCUAACGGGAAGAUAUCCGAAAGGGUAUGGUUAAUGUAACAGAAAACAACCGCCCCUGCGCUUGUCGCCGGGGUAAGGGUGAAAAGGCGGGGUAAGAGCCCACCGGUCCGGGUGGUGACAUCCGGAGCCGUACAACCGGCGAGUUGCAAGACCAUGUAUACCGGCGCCCGAGGGCUGCUCGCCCGAGCCGGGGGGUAGGUCGCUUGAGGUUGCGGGCAACCGUAAUCCCAGAUAAAUGACAGAAGUCCGCUUAGGCGGAUACAGAAUCCGGCUUACAGGCCUGCUAUUUUU